UACGUAGGUGGCAAGCGUUGUCCGGAUUUACUGGGCGUAAAGGGAGCGUAGGCGGAUGUUUAAGUGGGAUGUGAAAUACUCGGGCUCAACUUGAGUGCUGCAUUCCAAACUGGAUAUCUAGAGUGCAGGAGAGGAAAGGAGAAUUCCUAGUGUAGCGGUGAAAUGCGUAGAGAUUAGGAAGAACACCAGUGGCGAAGGCGAUUCUCUGGACUGUAACUGACGCUGAGGAGCGAAAGCAUGGGUAGCGAACAGGAUUA
This 257-nucleotide ribosomal RNA is filed under the name uncultured prokaryote. RNAcentral's name for it is "partial 16S ribosomal RNA". It matches the Rfam family "Bacterial small subunit ribosomal RNA", at positions 524 to 780 of the family's 1533-position model. The record is from RNAcentral.